This 1260-nucleotide long non-coding RNA is filed under the name Gallus gallus (chicken). RNAcentral describes it as "lncRNA (ENSGALG00010017137.1)". Lineage: Eukaryota; Metazoa; Chordata; Aves; Galliformes; Phasianidae. The record is from RNAcentral.
GUGCACUGCUAACAGCACACCAGGUCCUACCAAGCCCGUGCUCACUUGCAGCCAGUUUCUUUUUCUCCCCCACUCCUCUCCCAUCCCUUCACAGGCUCUGACUGACUCGUGCUUCCCAGCUGCAAACAGCCAAUCCUGCCCUGGCCGGGCACCUCAGCUGCCAUCCCACUCAGUUCCAGGCAAGGCCCACGUGUGGACAAAAGGAACCACCUCCAUGGAAGGGUCAGAGGAACAAAGGAAGGAGUGAAUGGAGGUCAGCUGGCACCAGGGUAUGCUCGGAUCCAUCGUGCCUUAGGAACGGCUCCCAGCCCACUUCUGACAUUUAUCUCACAGCUGCGCUGCUCACAAAGGAGGACAGCAAUCGUUUGUCUCUCAGACACAGAGACGGCGCUCCCACUUUGCACUCACACAUCCCUGCUGUCCCCAGGGGGACUCCGGGUCCUGUUAAGAAAAAUCCCUGACUUCUGCUGUUGUUGCCUGCAUCGAGCUGGGAGGAUAACAGGGAAUGCUGCUUGUCAGCUGUCGUGCAAGAGCAGACCUGGUGUUCUGCGCAGGGUCUCAGAGCGGCACGGUGAUGAUGUCAGCAGCAAAGGGGUGCUUAUGGCUGAUACAGCUCCUGCCAAGCCCACGGAUGAGCUGAGGCACAGCACAGCCACAGAGCAUCCACAUGUAGGUGUCACACAGCAUCUUCUGAAAUAACAGAGGCGUUACAGCUCAGAACAGCACACCAUCAGAUGAUGAAUCCAGACCUCUUCUCGUCAUCCCUGCUUGGAGCUGCACCAAAUGGGUUUAUUGCAGGAGUCCAUGCCUGAUGUCUCCCAGCGGGGAUGCGGGGCAGCCUGAGCAGCCCAGCUCAGCCCAGGGAGCAGCCAUUAAACACGAUUCUAUUGACUAAAGAAACCAAGAAGUGGAUAUUGACAUCGUCAGAAACUGUGCAGGCAAAUAAUUUGCCUCAAGAUUGUAUUCUCACCAUACUGUUAUCUACAUUUUUUGAGAUGUUUUUAUUUUCUAUUCUCCGGCUUUUAUGAAUCAGAAAGUCUUGGCUCUGGCUUUUGUGAGGAGAUAUGGUUUACACCUGGACUGCUGGUGUUGGAAUUUUAAAUAUUAAAAGCUAACGUUCAGUCUAGAUCAGCCCUACACCAUCACUCCUACAGGGAGCUGCUGUGCUGAAUGUUUCUGUUUCUGAGCACAGUAUCAACCACCUCUGUCCUUGUCAAGCCCUAUGGAAAGGAACAUUUACCAGACUCUGUGAGAAUGGUC